RNAcentral lists this long non-coding RNA (1075 nucleotides) under Anser brachyrhynchus (Pink-footed goose). RNAcentral describes it as "lncRNA (ENSABRG00000012347.1)". The record is from RNAcentral. Lineage: Eukaryota; Metazoa; Chordata; Aves; Anseriformes; Anatidae.
UACAUAAAGGUUUGUAUUUAUUUACAGGUACUGCUAGGUAACAGUGGCUAGCAGUAACAGCUAUAUAGGGCUCUGUGCUUCUGGGGGCUGAAGAGGCAAGAGAAUCCUUGUUGGGGGUAGCUGAUAGCUCUUGGGUGGCUGUGGUGAGAUCUGGAAGCUCUAGUGGGUGGGAGGGAAUGGCGGAACAAGAUGAGCUGAGUUUCACUUUGGGAUGUGUUCAGGCUAAAGUGAGACGUACCUGAGCUGCUGCCUAAGCUGACAAAUGGGCUGGAAGUGUAUUAGAAGAGCCAGUAUGAGUAAGGGACAGAAGGGGAAAUGCAUGCUGGUAGAAACCUUCAUGAGGGAGAGAAGCUGUUGCACCAUCUUGUUCUUGACUACAAGGAGGAUAAAUAGAAAGCAGAGAAGGUGGUGUGAAUUGGUCUACAAGAAUCAAUACAGCUGUGCUGCUUGAUUUUCACCAGCAGAGACUCUGACCUCCCAAGUGCAAGAGUACUGGGUGGUGUGGGGGAGAUGAUACUGCCUGGUGUUCUGGGAGAGUGAUUAAGACUUGAUCCUGGAUCACUGAACUUGGGAAGUUUUGCCAAUUGACUUAGAUCAGGAUCAGAAACUUUUCACUAGAGUGUGAAGCUCUGAACAAGCACAUUCUGAAAAUGUAACUCACUCCAUGACUGAAACCAUUGGCAUGAUGGGAAAAAUGAAGAGUACUUCUGCAACAUUACAUACUGACAUAAAUAAUUAAACGAAAAAGGAAGUUCAGACCUUUUGCUUAGACAAUGAAGGAGGAAAAAAGUAAAUAUAUAUUUGUAUUUGUUGGUGUUGUAUAGGAUUGGUAGCUAGUAGUUCUGAUAAAUUCAGAAGCAGAAGCCUAGAUUAUUAAUAUUUUAUUUUUUCUGCACCCAGAGAAACCCACUGUACUGAGCACUGUACAAAUGCAUGCCAUGCAACACUCCUUUGCCCUGAACAGUUCUCAGGUGGAUAGGGAGUAAGAAAAGAGUAGGAAAAGAGAAACCUAAAUACAGAGAGGUUUUCUACUUUACAAUUGCUGAAACAAAAUAAAUUUGUGACACUUAUGACA